RNAcentral lists this ribosomal RNA (253 nucleotides) under uncultured bacterium. RNAcentral describes it as "partial 16S ribosomal RNA". It matches the Rfam family "Bacterial small subunit ribosomal RNA", at positions 524 to 776 of the family's 1533-position model. The record is from RNAcentral.
UACGAAGGGGGCUAGCGUUGUUCGGAAUUACUGGGCGUAGAGCGCACGUAGGCGGAUUGUUAAGUUAGAGGUGAAAUCCCGGAGCUCAACUUCGGAACUGCCUUUGAUACUGGCAAUCUCGAGUCCGGAAGAGGUUAGUGGAAUUCCCAGUGUAGAGGUGAAAUUCGUAGAUAUUGGGAAGAACACCAGUGGCGAAGGCGGCUAACUGGUCCGGUACUGACGCUGAGGUGCGAAAGCUGGGGGAGCGAACAGG